Molecule: ribosomal RNA, 402 nt
Filed under: bacterium
Lineage: Bacteria
Description: partial 16S ribosomal RNA
Rfam family: Bacterial small subunit ribosomal RNA
Source: RNAcentral
UGGGGAAUUUUGCACAAUGGGGGAAACCCUGAUGCAGCGACGCCGCGUGAUUUAGAAGGCCUUCGGGUUGUAAAAAUCUUUUCUAUGGGAAGAAAAUGACAGUACCAUAGGAAUAAGGACCGGCUAAUUACGUGCCAGCAGCCGCGGUAAUACGUAAGGUCCGAGCGUUGUCCGGAAUCAUUGGGCGUAAAGGGUACGUAGGCGGGUAAGCAAGUUAGAAGUGAAAUCCUAUAGCUCAACUAUAGUAAGCUUUUAAAACUGCUCAGCUUGAGGUAUGGAAUGGAAAGUGGAAUUCCUAGUGUAGCGGUGAAAUGCGCAGAUAUUAGGAGGAAUACCGGUGGCGAAGGCGACUUUCUGGCCAUAACCUGACGCUGAGGUACGAAAGCGUGGGUAGCAAACAGG